CACUGGGGACUUUUUCUUAUAGAAUUCAUUGAUGGCUGUUGAACCUCCUUUUCUGUUUUGGGUUUAUUUAAAUAUUCUAAUUCCUCUUCUGUUAAUCUGAACAAUUAAUAUUUUUAAAUAUUCACCUAGGUCACUUAGAUUGUCAUUAGAUAGACUUUUGAUAUAAAAUUGGGCAAAAUUACUCCUAACAAUUGCUUUAAUUUUCUCUUUGUUAUGUGUUCACCUUUUUUUAUUUCUGAUACUGGCAAUUUGGUUUUCUACUCUCUUUAAAAAAAAAUCAAAUUAGCCAAUGAUUUAUCUAUUUUAUUGAUUUCCCCCACCCACACAGAAAACUAGAUCUUUGUCUUAUUUAUUAGUACAAUGAUUUUUUUACUUUGAAUUUUAUUAAUAGCUCCUUUGAUUUUCAGGAUAUCUAAUUUGAUGUUUAAUUGGGGAUUUAAAAUUCAUUCUUUUUCUAGAUUAUUUUGGUUGCAUGCCCAGUUCAUUAAUCUGUCCUUUCUCCAUUUUGAAAAAGCAUAUUGUGGAAUUCUGGUUUUGAAUAUCCUCUACUAUCGUCUUCUGUUUUAUGGUUUCACAUGCCAGAAGGGGUCUUUCCCAGACCUGGGAGUUGGCACCAUUGACUUUGGAAACAACAUUGCAACCAGAAUUCCAGGCAUAGAAAGGAAAGCCAGGACUGAAGAGCCAACGAUCUACCCUGCCUGAAGUAGAAGCCAAGAUCUUCCACAAGGGAGAACAGGACACCUCAGGGCAGCAGCUUAUCAGGAAUAGAGAAGAGUCAAGACCAGGACUCUCCACAAGGAGAAGAGAGACUUCAACUGAUAGAGAUAAGGACGGAGUAUGCUACCAUCUUGGAGGGAAGAUCUGCUCUGCAAAUGCUGGGAGGUGGGAAAAGGCAGGAUGAGACUGAAGAAUAGGAAAUAGUCCAAUCUGGCUGGAACAUAGAAUUCAAGUCAUAUACAAGAAGGAUGGAAAGGGAGGUCAGACACAGAUUGUGAAGGGACGUAAUACAAAUAUAAGGAGUUUAUAUUUUAUCCUCUAAAGUUUAGAUUUUUUCUAAUUUUAGAUAAUUUCUAAUUUUAGAUUUUUUUCUAAUUUUAGAUAAUUUCUAAAUUUAGAUAAUUUAGAUAAAAUUAGAUAAUUUCUCAUUUUUAGAUUUUCAGUGGUUCCAGAACCACUGAAAAAUUUUCACAGGAUAAGUAAUAAGCCAUGGGAAGAGUCAGUCAGUAUCUGUGUGACAGGUGAAUUGGAGGACUCCAAGGACAGAAGCUGGUGGAAGGUAGAGACUAGACAACCACAACAUUGGAGACAUUGGCAAGAGAGAGCAAUAGAGAACCUUUGUAUAAGAAGUUUAAGGUCUGCAAAGCACUUUACCAAGUAUUCUCUCAUUUGAUCCUCACAAAAACCCUGGGCAAUAGGUGCUAUUGUUAUACCCAUUUCAUAGAUUAGGAAACCGGCACAAUGAGAGACUGAGUAAUUUGCCAAGAGUCAUACUGGUAGUGUCUGAAACUGGAUUUGAACCCAAGACCUUCUGAUUCCAAGUCCUACAUUCUCUCUAUCUCUACUGGGUCACCUAGCAGAGAUGUGGUAUGUUCAGGGAAAAGCCAGAAUUUGGUUAGAAUAUAGAAGUUCAAGGAAUAGAAUAGGGAGGGUUUAGGAGGCAGGCACGUAUGUUCAGAGGAGGAAGGGGUAGACAGAAGAGGACAGUGUCUGGGGAUGGAGAGGACUAAAGCAGAUACAGGUAAGAGUCUGGGGAAAGAAGGCUCUUGUUUCCUCGGUCUCUCUCCCUCCGUCUCUGUCUUUUUCUCUAUUUCUGUCUGUCUGUCUUUAUCUACCUCUGUCUCUCUUUCUCUUUAUCAACCUUGGGGUUGAUAAACACUCAUGAUUGGGAGCAAUUAGCGGGACUGGGGAUAGGAUCCUUCUAGAGAAAAAGGGUGUAACCUGGGAAAUUAAAUAUAAUGCCAAGCCAAAAUUCCCAAGGGUCACCAAAUCCAAGGGCUAGGCAGGAUUCUAAGGGUUCAUAGUAGUGGUCAAAGAGUGAGGAGGAGGCAGGAAGGAACAAGUAUUUCUUAAGUACCUUCUAUGUGCCAAGCAUUGUGUUAAGCUCUUUAAAAAUAUUAUCCCGUUUGAUCCUCCUAACAACCUUGGAAAAUAGGUGCUAUUAUUAUCUCUGCCUCAUAGCUGAAUAAAUGGAGGCAGACAGUGGCUAUGUGACUUGCU
Molecule: long non-coding RNA, 2217 nt
Organism: Monodelphis domestica (gray short-tailed opossum)
Lineage: Eukaryota; Metazoa; Chordata; Mammalia; Didelphimorphia; Didelphidae
Source: Ensembl